RNAcentral lists this long non-coding RNA (344 nucleotides) under Mytilus galloprovincialis (Mediterranean mussel). Lineage: Eukaryota; Metazoa; Mollusca; Bivalvia; Mytilida; Mytilidae. The record is from RNAcentral.
GUCUGUUUUUCUCAUACUUUAUGCAAUAGGUCUACUAUAUUUGUUGUAUGGAAUGAUUGUAAGGUGAACAUGUCUAGCGGACAGAUGUCAUCUGACCUUGACCUCAUUUUCAUGGUUCAGUGGUCAAAGUUAAGUUUUUCAGUUUUGGUCUUUUUAUCUGAUACUAUACGCCAUAGGUCAACUAUAUUUAGUGUAUGGAAAUAUUUUAUGAUUUAUAUAUUAGUCGCGCAGGUUUUAUUUGACCUUGACCUCAUUUUCACAGUUCAUUGCUCAGUGUUAAGUUUUUGUGUUUUGGUCUAUUUUUCUUAAACUAUAAGUAUUAGGUCAACUAUAUUUGUUUUAUG